This 472-nucleotide ribosomal RNA is filed under the name uncultured bacterium. RNAcentral describes it as "partial 16S ribosomal RNA". It matches the Rfam family "Bacterial small subunit ribosomal RNA", at positions 28 to 507 of the family's 1533-position model. The record is from RNAcentral.
GACGAACGCUGGCGGCGUGCUUAACACAUGCAAGUCGAACGCUGAAGCUUGGUGCUUGCACUGGGUGGAUGAGUGGCGAACGGGUGAGUAAUACGUGAGUAACCUGCCCUUGACUCUGGGAUAAGCCUGGGAAACUGGGUCUAAUACUGGAUACGACAUGCCACUGCAUGGUGGUGUGUGGAAAGGGUUUUACUGGUUUUGGAUGGGCUCACGGCCUAUCAGUUUGUUGGUGGGGUAAUGGCCUACCAAGGCGACGACGGGUAGCCGGCCUGAGAGGGUGACCGGCCACACUGGGACUGAGACACGGCCCAGACUCCUACGGGAGGCAGCAGUGGGGAAUAUUGCACAAUGGGCGGAAGCCUGAUGCAGCGACGCCGCGUGAGGGAUGACGGCCUUCGGGUUGUAAACCUCUUUCAGCACGGAAGAAGCGAGAGUGACGGUACGUGCAGAAGAAGCGCCGGCUAACUACGUG